AGGCGCCGCGGAAAGUUAUGCUCUACCAGUCACUUAUUGGUAGAGCUGGCAUGGAACCACGGCCCUCAAAAGGAACAUACGCGAUGCGCGUGUGUAUGGGCACCUAAUCCUGAGGAGCUCCAGGGGAAAAGAAUGGACAGGCCAAAAAGGCAAACAACGAGGACAAAUAAGGCUCUCGGGUCUAACUCCGCAUAAAUUCGCAAUUGAACAGGGAUGUAAAUAUCAAUAUAUUUAAUCAAGGUACACGUGUAUUUAAUUUUUCCUAAAUUUCAGCCGGCCGGCCUUCUCGCCGGAGGCCAGCAGCGAUACGGGUCUCCAAGAAAGAAAACUGGCGCACUACGGUGAGUUGUGCAAGGGCAGUCGGAGGUUCGGCCGCCCGACAAAAUGGCGGUACUUCUCAACGCCGCGAUGCGACGGCUGGAAGUUCCCGAGAUGAGGUGGACGUGGUAGACCGGAACGGACUAACCGGGAAAUGCUUGAUGUCGUCGGCGUCGACUGCGAAGGCGUUUAUGGCUGGUCUUCUAUGCGGGUCGAACGGACACCGGUUGCUGGCAGCCAAGUCGGGGCUGGUACGUAUGGCGAAGUCGCGCAGAUAUCAGUGGAAGUCCCAACACUUCCAGCUGCAUCUGCCUGGUUGGACAAUAUGGCUGCAUUUAUCUGAUAUGCUGCUUAUCUGCUGAUCAUCGAUCCUCCCCCGCCAUAUUUCAUGGCCUCUCUCAAAAUUGGGUCGUUGGAUACAUGGGUCCAUUUAAGGUAAUCCCAGAGCGAA
This is a long non-coding RNA of Drosophila subpulchrella, 769 nucleotides long. RefSeq lists it as uncharacterized. The transcript has 3 exons. The record is from RefSeq and is a predicted model, not a curated record. NCBI's taxonomy places the organism in Eukaryota, Metazoa, Arthropoda, Insecta, Diptera, Drosophilidae.